This 351-nucleotide ribosomal RNA is filed under the name uncultured bacterium. Its description in RNAcentral is "bacterial SSU rRNA". It matches the Rfam family "Bacterial small subunit ribosomal RNA", at positions 917 to 1271 of the family's 1533-position model. The record is from RNAcentral.
GGACCCGCACAAGUAGUGGAGCAUGUGGUUUAAUUCGAAGAUACGCGCAGAACCUUACCAGGGCUUAAAUGUAGUGGGACAGGUCUAGAGAUAGACCCUUCUUCGGACUCAUUACAAGGUGCUGCAUGGUUGUCGUCAGCUCGUGCCGUGAGGUGUCAGGUUAAGUCCUAUAACGAGCGCAACCCCUAUCGUUAGUUGCCAGCGAGUAAUGUCGGGAACUCUAACGAAACUGCCAGUGCAAACUGUGAGGAAGGUGGGGAUGACGUCAAAUCAUCACGGCCCUUACGUCCUGGCUACACACGUGCUACAAUGGCCGGUACAGAGAGCAGCCACUUCGCAAGAAGGAGCGAA